GCUGGAGUGAGGCUCCGGAGACUGUUGAGGGAUGCUGGUGGCUUCAGGGUCCCUGUACUGCUUUGCUGCUCUCUCCACCCAGGCUCAUUCUCAGUGACCUCCUGGGCCCUCCCCUUGUGGCCCGGAAGUUUCAGGCACGUGACCAUGUCUGGAUCUUCCUCUUGGAGAUUUGUGACAUUUGCCCAGUGGCUCAAGUAGAACUGCUUGGUGGGUGUCCUGGCUUUCUGCCUCCCAGCCGUGGGCACCCCACACAGGGGCAGCAGACAGGAGCUCCUCAAGGCGUGGAGGGCCCCACUAACAGACCCAGCGGUGUGCGGGACCCUUCCUCCCCACACUGAGCAUCGCAGCUGUGGGAGGGAAGCGCUCGCUCUGCGGGGCCACGGCGCGUCCUGGCUUCCGAGGUGAUGGGGUGUCCAGCCUGGCGAGGACAACGAGCACGCGCGGGGACUCCGUUGCCCGAGUCUGGGGGCCGCCCUGGUGACCUCUACAUCGCCGUCCCGAGGUAUCUGGCGGCUGCUCCGGGC
This is a long non-coding RNA of Fukomys damarensis (Damara mole-rat), 524 nucleotides long. RefSeq lists it as uncharacterized. The record is from RefSeq and is a predicted model, not a curated record. The transcript is spliced from 3 exons. NCBI's taxonomy places the organism in Eukaryota, Metazoa, Chordata, Mammalia, Rodentia, Bathyergidae.